CAAAACUUUCAACAACGGAUCUCUUGGCUCUGGCAUCGAUGAAGAACGCAGCGAAAUGCGAUACGUAAUGCGAAUUGCAGAAUUCAGCGAGUCAUCGAAUCUUUGAACGCACAUUGCGCCCGCCAGCAUUCUGGCGGGCAUGCCUGUCCGAGCGUCAUUU
RNAcentral lists this ribosomal RNA (160 nucleotides) under Ophiostoma pulvinisporum. Its description in RNAcentral is "5.8S ribosomal RNA". It matches the Rfam family "5.8S ribosomal RNA". Rfam says of the family: 5.8S ribosomal RNA (5.8S rRNA) is a component of the large subunit of the eukaryotic ribosome. Lineage: Eukaryota; Fungi; Ascomycota; Sordariomycetes; Ophiostomatales; Ophiostomataceae. The record is from RNAcentral.